CGAACGGGAAAUAUUUUAUUGAAACUUCGGUAGAUUUAAUUUAUUUCUAGUGGCGGACGGGUGAGUAACGCGUGGGUAACCUGCCUUAUACUGGGGGAUAACAGCCAGAAAUGGCUGCUAAUACCGCAUAAGCGCACAGGACCGCAUGGUCCGGUGUGAAAAACUCCGGUGGUAUAAGAUGGACCCGCGUUGGAUUAGCUAGUUGGCAGGGCAGCGGCCUACCAAGGCGACGAUCCAUAGCCGGCCUGAGAGGGUGAACGGCCACAUUGGGACUGAGACACGGCCCAGACUCCUACGGGAGGCAGCAGUGGGGAAUAUUGCACAAUGGGGGAAACCCUGAUGCAGCGACGCCGCGUGAAGGAAGAAGUAUCUCGGUAUGUAAACUUCUAUCAGCAGGGAAGAUAAUGACGGUACCUGACUAAGAAGCCCCGGCUAACUACGUGCCAGCAGCCGCGGUAAUACGUAGGGGGCAAGCGUUAUCCGGAUUUACUGGGUGUAAAGGGAGCGUAGACGGCGCAGCAAGUCUGAUGUGAAAGGCAGGGGCUUAACCCCUGGACUGCAUUGGAAACUGUUGAGCUUGAGUGCCGGAGGGGUAAGCGGAAUUCCUAGUGUAGCGGUGAAAUGCGUAGAUAUUAGGAGGAACACCAGUGGCGAAGG
RNAcentral lists this ribosomal RNA (657 nucleotides) under uncultured Lachnospiraceae bacterium. RNAcentral describes it as "bacterial SSU rRNA". It matches the Rfam family "Bacterial small subunit ribosomal RNA", at positions 63 to 721 of the family's 1533-position model. The record is from RNAcentral. Lineage: Bacteria; Bacillati; Bacillota; Clostridia; Lachnospirales; Lachnospiraceae.